UCUGGUUGUGGCCGGACCCGGCCCGUGGUCGCUGGAUAGCGCCCUGCGCGGCGGCCGACGCUGACGCGUGACGCGGCGUCCGGUCAGCCGAUCCGGAC
This 98-nucleotide transfer RNA is filed under the name compost metagenome. RNAcentral's name for it is "tRNA-Ala". The record is from RNAcentral.